UUCAAUUCUACAGCACAAAAUUGUCUCAGCAUAAAACAGUCUACCGCAUGCUUCUUAAGACCACAAAAUGAAU
This is a long non-coding RNA of Maniola jurtina (meadow brown), 73 nucleotides long. RefSeq lists it as uncharacterized. The record is from RefSeq and is a predicted model, not a curated record. The transcript has 3 exons. NCBI's taxonomy places the organism in Eukaryota, Metazoa, Arthropoda, Insecta, Lepidoptera, Nymphalidae.